AUUUUUGAAGAAGUUUCCACUUGAUCCAGAUCGGUGUCAUUCUUGGGUCAAAGCAGUUGGGAAUGAAGACUGCUUACAUACCCGUUAAAAAAUUGCAUGAAA
Melitaea cinxia (Glanville fritillary) is the source of this 102-nucleotide long non-coding RNA. RefSeq lists it as uncharacterized. The transcript is spliced from 2 exons. The record is from RefSeq and is a predicted model, not a curated record. NCBI's taxonomy places the organism in Eukaryota, Metazoa, Arthropoda, Insecta, Lepidoptera, Nymphalidae.